UACGUAGGGCGCGAGCGUUGUCCGGAAUUAUUGGGCGUAAAGAGCUCGUAGGCGGCCUGUUGCGUCCGCUGUGAAAUCCCGGGGCUCAACCCUGGGCGUGCAGUGGAUACGGGCAGGCUGGAGGCAGGCAGGGGAGAACGGAAUUCCCGGUGUAGCGGUGAAAUGCGCAGAUAUCGGGAGGAACACCGGUGGCGAAGGCGGUUCUCUGGGCCUGUGCUGACGCUGAGGAGGCGAAAGCGUGGGGAGCGAACAGGAUUAGAAACCCCCUGGUAGU
Molecule: ribosomal RNA, 274 nt
Filed under: uncultured bacterium
Lineage: Bacteria
Description: partial 16S ribosomal RNA
Rfam family: Bacterial small subunit ribosomal RNA
Source: RNAcentral